This 460-nucleotide ribosomal RNA is filed under the name uncultured bacterium. Its description in RNAcentral is "partial 16S ribosomal RNA". It matches the Rfam family "Bacterial small subunit ribosomal RNA", at positions 338 to 795 of the family's 1533-position model. The record is from RNAcentral.
CCUACGGGUGGCAGCAGUGAGGAAUAUUGGUCAAUGGACGAGAGUCUGAACCAGCCAAGUAGCGUGAAGGAUGACUGCCCUAUGGGUUGUAAACUUCUUUUAUAUGGGAAUAAAAUGUUCCACGUGUGGGAUUUUGUAUGUACCAUAUGAAUAAGGAUCGGCUAACUCCGUGCCAGCAGCCGCGGUAAUACGGAGGAGCCGAGCGUUAUCCGGAUUUAUUGGGUUUAAAGGGAGCGUAGGUGGAUUGUUAAGUCAGUUGUGAAAGUUUGCGGCUCAACCGUAAAAUUGUAGUUGAAACUGGCAGUCUUGAGUACAGUAGAGGUGGGCGGAAUUCGUGGUGUAGCGGUGAAAUGCUUAGAUAUCACGAAGAACUCCGAUUGCGAAGGCAGUUCACUGGACUGCAACUGACACUGAGGCUCGAAAGUGUGGGUAUCAAACAGGAUUAGAGACCCCAGUAGUC